GAAAUGCGAUACGUAAUGUGAAUUGCAGAAUUCAGUGAAUCAUCGAAUCUUUGAACGCACCUUGCGCCCCUUGGUAUUCCGAGGGGCACACCCGUUUGAGUGUCGUGAAAAUCUCAACCUUCUCGGUUUCUUCUGGACACCGAAGGAGGCUUGGACUUUGGAGGCCUUUGCUGGCAUCUCUCUCUUUGAAAGGCCAGCUCCUCUUAAAUGAAUUAGCGGGGUCCUCUUUGCCGAUCCUUGACAUGUGAUAAGAUGUUUCCAUGUCUUGGCUUUCUGGCUCUGUUGCUUUUGGGACCCGCUUCUAAUCGUCUUGACCUCGCAUCGAGACAAAGUUUGAGCGUGUCUCCCUUCCUGGGAAACUCUCUCAACCUCACGAACCCUUGACCUCAAAUCGGGUGAGACUACCCGCUGAACUUAA
RNAcentral lists this ribosomal RNA (418 nucleotides) under Lactarius sp. 279-64. RNAcentral describes it as "eukaryotic LSU rRNA". The stretch from base 1 to 105 matches the Rfam family "5.8S ribosomal RNA", at positions 50 to 154 of the family's 154-position model. The record is from RNAcentral. Lineage: Eukaryota; Fungi; Basidiomycota; Agaricomycetes; Russulales; Russulaceae.